Daphnia pulex (common water flea) is the source of this 2834-nucleotide long non-coding RNA. RefSeq lists it as uncharacterized. NCBI's taxonomy places the organism in Eukaryota, Metazoa, Arthropoda, Branchiopoda, Diplostraca, Daphniidae. The transcript has 8 exons. The record is from RefSeq and is a predicted model, not a curated record.
UCUGCAGAGAUCCAUGUCGGUUGCAAGUUCUAAUUACAAAGGGUCUUUGCGUUCCCACACCCAAGUGUUAUGUAUCAUACCUUCAUCAAUAGAAAUUCAACGUUAGUAAGCAUUUGCAAAAUAAUUACGUCACAGGAAGUUUUCUGAUUAUUUUCAAUCGCCAAAUCGUAAACUCAUGGAUGUCUCGCCCCCCUCCUUAUACUACACGUGCUUGAAACAAAGGAUUAAAUUUAAAAAAAAAAUGUUUGGGGAGCUUCAGUCGGUGCCAUUGUAAGUUUUUUCAACGUGUUGGUAGAUCUCAGAGAGGUAGCAGACUGCAGACACUCAGACAGUGUCAUUGAUGGCAAUAGAUAUAAGAAUGAGUUUUGAGAUCCAGAAAAACAGGGAAAUUCUCUUGCUCAAUGCCACCACUUGGGCUAGGUAUGAAUAUAUAUUAUAUAGCAUAAAUAUGGUGAUGCUUUGACGAGUCUUUGCAGUGUCCUACCCUCGUUUAAGGUUUUUUGGAUAGUGGAUUUAGACUUGUAAGACUGAAGAAUAUAAUUUGUGAGGCACUGCGGACAAGAAAAGCGGAACUUGGGCUACUGUGGCCUCAUUAUUCUGCUCUUUACACGCGGAAAAGCCCAGUGAAGAAUGGAAAGUCACGAGGUCGCCAAGCUGCUGCAACACCACAUUCGACACCGAAGAAAAACGAACAGCAAUCUGAAUCUAAUGGCGAAAAAGAAUAAAUUGCUCGAACGUCUUCAAAGACUGCAAAAUCGGCAGUCCAGUCGUCCGUGGAUGCUAUGGGCUGUCACUAGUUCAAUCAUUCACCGCCGUCCCAUAAGAUUCUUUGGUGAAACUGAGAAACUGAGGAGAGGUUGCUGAAACUCAAGACUGAUGGAUAAAUUAUGUAGAUGUAGAUAAAUUACAAGGGCUUAUUUGUGCCCCCCCCCCCUCUCUUGCCCCGUUUCCCUAAGUAAACAGUAAUCAACCCCCGCCGUGAUAACCAGGAGGGAAUUGACCUUUAGUUCCAUGACCUUUUUUGGCUUUGGCAUAUUUUAUCGACUGCACUUUGUCGAUAUGUCGUCUCUACGUCUACCUGUAGUACUGUACCGGCGUAGAGUUCAAUCGUUGGCCGGCGUUCCAUAGACCUGAUCCAUUGCUGAGGAGAGGUUGCUGAAAUUCAAGACUGAUUGAUAAAUUACGUAGAAAAAUUACAAAUGUAGAUCUGUGCUCCCUAAGACCCUUAAGUAAACAGAAACCAAUUCUCGUUUUUUUAAUUUUUUAAUAUAUAUUUUUAUGAUAUUUUUUCAAGUACGAACUUGUAAUUUAGACUGAAGGAUUUAAUUUUGUGAGCACUGCGGACAAGAAAAGCGGAUUUUUUAUUACUGCGGCCCCGUUAUUCUCCUCUUUACACGCGAAAAAUCCCAGUGAAGAAUGGACGGAAAAGUCACGAGGUCGACAGUUUUUGCAACCCCAAAUUCGACAUCGAAGAAAACCAAACAGCAAUCGGAAUCGGAAUGGCGCAUUACGAAGCUCACAUUUACGAUGUGUUUGGCCUUGAUACAUUUGUGGGAACGUUCAUCUAGCUUCAUGCUGCUACACAACUUACAAUCUCAAUUUAGUAAUUUACUGACGAGUUGAACCACUUUAGUCCGCUGUGACAUACCUGUAGUCACUCACCACGGGAUUAUGCACAGGUAUCGAUAAUUGACUUAUUUUCGUAAAUUGUUAAUUAGACGUUUCUUUUGGCAAACGAUAGAUUUAUCAUAAGCCUUAGAUCAUUUUCAGCUGUCAAAUUUAGUCAGUUUCAGCUACUUUGCCCAUCCCUGUAAAAAUGUAUCGGCAGUUAUUGCGUGUUAACUUUUUGGUGAUAACUGACGAUAACUAUUCCACCAACUCACUUGUUAAUUGUUCGAUAAUGGUUUUUUCCCUACUAAAUCUGUUUCACGGACACGGAGAUGACGAAUAUUUUGGUUUAUUUUCCGAGUCACCCUAUUUUCCGUCCCACUCUAUCGUCCGUGGAUGCUAAGGGCUGUCACUAGGUGGCUAAAUAUUUCAAUGUGUUUAGGGAUUGAACUAUUCAGCCCUAGUGUGUAGAGGGAUGUACUGGAGGGGGGGUCUCACCACACCCAUAGUUGUGAGAAGAGAAACCAUAUGUCGUUCUUUUACUUCCGAGACGCUGACCGAGAAGGUUACUCUAGUCAUUAUUGCUGGGUACUUUCAUCCCUGAAAUUGUUCUUCAUAAAAAAAGGUUGGUGGAGAUUGUUCUCAAUGUGAAAUGCAAGAUCGACAAGAUGAGAUAAGUUGCCAAGCCUCUGAUGAGGCCUCUACCAUGCUGCGAGAUAAAAAUGUGCUCACUAGGCAAGCUGAAAUGGUUUCAUUGGUUAGAGAAAGUUUGAGCUGUUCAUGGUUGUGAUGUUUGGUGUGGCAGUCAUUUUCUGAUAGAGGUGCACUGAAAUGGAUCUUCUACAGACCUGCAGUUCAACAUCAUACUUCCAUUUACCAUGUUGGUGUCCAUGCAGAGUUGAGCUGUUGUGCAAAAUAAUAGGUGUUGCCUCAUGGCUUUCUGGCAAUUUGUUGGUGUGUUCUUCUGCUACCUGUAUCUAUGUUGAGUUCAAUCGAACGGCGCCGUUCCGGACUUGAUCCAUUGGUGAAGCUAAGAAGAGGUUGCUGAACUUCAAGAGAUUGAUAAAUUAUUUAGUCUUAGAGAUUUUGCAAAUUCAUAUCUGUUCUAUCUUUCCCCAAGUAAACAAAAUUUCCUCUUAGGUAGUUGUGUGGAUGGGUAAUUGCAAUGAGAUUUUGUAUUUUCUGUGAGAAAACUCAGUUAAAACCAUAAAAAUCUUGUGUACUGA